This 106-nucleotide small nuclear RNA is filed under the name Panthera tigris altaica (Amur tiger). The record is from RNAcentral. Lineage: Eukaryota; Metazoa; Chordata; Mammalia; Carnivora; Felidae.
GUGCUCGCUUGGCAGCACAUAUACUAAAAUUGGAAUGAUACGGAGAGGAUUAACAUGGCCCCUGCACAAGGAUGAAACGCAAAUUUGUGAAGGGUUCCGUAUUAAA